AGUCAAUGUUCUUCGUGAACAUGGCGAACUGCUCAGUAACACGUGGAUAAUCUACCCUUCGGUCUGGAAUAACCCCGGGAAACUGGGGAUAAUACCGGAUAGAUCAUAGAUGCUGGAAUGCCCUAUGUUCUAAAGCUCCGGCGCCUAAGGAUGAGUCCGCGGUCUAUCAGGUUGUAGUGGGUGUAACGUACCUACUAGCCGACGACGGAUACGGGUUGUGAGAGCAAGAGCCCGGAGAUGGAUUCUGAGACACGAAUCCAGGC
Molecule: ribosomal RNA, 263 nt
Filed under: uncultured archaeon
Lineage: Archaea
Description: partial 16S ribosomal RNA
Rfam family: Archaeal small subunit ribosomal RNA
Source: RNAcentral